CCUACGGGAGGCUGCAGUGGGGAAUAUUGGGCAAUGGGCGCAAGCCUGACCUAGCAACGCCGCGUGAAGGAAGAAGGCCCUCGGGUUGUAAACUUCUUUUAUUCGGGACGAAACAAAUGACGGUACCGAAUGAAUAAGCCACGGCUAAAUACGGGCCCGCAGCCGCGGGAAUGAGGUGGGGGCAAGCGUUAUCCGGAUUUACUGGGUGUAAAGGGCGUGUAGGCGGGAGAGCAAGUCAGAAGUGAAAUGCCAGGGCUCAACCCUGGAACAGCGUUUGAAACUGUUCUUCUUGAGUGGAGGAGAGGCAGGCGGAAUUCCGUGGGUAGCGGUGAAAUGCGUAGAUAUACGGAGGAACACCAGUGGCGAAGGCGGCCUGCUGGACAUUAACUGACGCUGAGGCGCGAAAGCGUGGGGAGCAAACAGGAUUAGAUACCCGAGUAGUC
This 443-nucleotide ribosomal RNA is filed under the name uncultured bacterium. RNAcentral's name for it is "partial 16S ribosomal RNA". It matches the Rfam family "Bacterial small subunit ribosomal RNA", at positions 338 to 795 of the family's 1533-position model. The record is from RNAcentral.